AUUUAGAUCACCUGGUGAGGAGUGAGGAGCUUCUCUCCACUGCUCAGCUCCUUUCUACUCCACUAAUAGUGAGUGUGCUCCCAAAGGGAGGGACAGGUUCAGCUCCCUCCCAGCUCUGACGAGGUGGGAUGGUCAAACUUGAAUUUCCCACAUUCCAGAGGACUGAACCUCUGGUACCAGGAAGAAGUCCAAAGGGAUCUCUGCUUGGUGGCCAUGCUGACCUCUGCUUUUCUGGGGUGGCUAACUUGCACCAGAAGCCAAAUGUAUGAUUUGGGACUCUGCCCAUGGAGAAGAGGUGAGGAGCUGGUAUCAGAGCAUUAUGCAUUGCGUGUCCUGACAUGUACACAUUGAAAACUUUUCUACUUAGCAUCAGGUUGGUAGUGUCUUACCUUGAGGGAUGCAGGACACGCCAUCACUGGCUAAAGUGUAAUCAUCAUCACAGAAGCACAGUCGUAUUUUGGACUGCUUGUCAGUACAGUACUGUUCACAGCCACCGUUGUCAAAAAUGCACUUCAGUUUGUCAGCCACAGCUAAAGGCAGAGAAAGAACAUUUAGGAUUCAAGACUUGGAUUUUUCUGCUUAACAGUGAUAACUUGCAAUUGGAAUGUUGUCAGGAAAGCAAGGCAGGAAAAACGAUUUCUGUGAUUUAUGCAGAGCAACUUCAUCAAAAUUGCUUUUCAUCAAAAGCUAAGUAGGCCUAGAUCUCUAGGGAUUAGGGGAGGAUAGGCUUUGGUUAAGAAAUAUAUACAUAAAAUUAAAUCAAUCAGCAUUUAUACAGUACCUGAGCUGUCUCAAGAAUGGAGAUACUGUAAUUGUGUGGUAACCAUUGUAAAAUAUGACUGAAAAAUUUUAAUUCUGUGACAUUUUGCUACUUAGCAGGAGGAUGCUCUGUGAUGACUGUUGAGACUGCCUGCCUAGACUUGAUGAGUGCCUAGCCCUUUGUCCAGACUCUGCAUGUUCUGAGGAUGUAACACUCAAUAUUCAGUGUCCUCUGUUUCAGUGAAAUCAGUGGAAAGGUGCAUAUUAACUUCAUAAACCACUGGAUCCUUCCCUUUGGGCUUUGUACUGUGCAUAUGCAGUGUAGUUCUUACUUACAUAAGGCAUGGAGCUUCUAAGUUAGCAUAACUUCAGCACUUGAAAUUCCUCCUUUUCUCUCAGAUGGUGUGCAAAUGCAAUUUUUUUUUCUUUAAUCACAAAGUCAUUAUAGGGCAAUAAGUAUCUUGCUGCCUUGCAGUACCUGACUGCUAUCUGGUUAGAUCCAUCCCUCAACACCAAAAGCACUAUGAACAGAAGCUGUCACAGCUGGAAUGAUGCAGAAUCACAGAAUCCUAAAAUAUCCUGAGUUGGAAGGGACCAACGAGGAUCAUCAAGUCCAAAUCCUGAAUUACAAGGACUGUUACUGUUUAUCUCAAUGCCUUGCAUUUGAAUUAAUAAGAGCAUUUUUAUUUUAUUAAGUUAUGCCACAGCUGACCUUUUUCACAGCUUUUUCCCUCGUAUUCAACAGGACAGCGGCAGACAUAAUCCUGGAACUGAUCAUCACAAAUCCCACCAUUCUGACAGGGGUUGGAGGCACACUGGUUGGGGUCUGUAAAACACUCAGUGUCAGUUCAGCUCACGCAAAGAGCUGCAGCAGUGGGAGUGUUCCACAGCUGUUAGAACAUCCUGAAUGAUCGUACCAGAAUAGAUGAGCCAGAACUCUUCCUGGAAGAAAAAGAUGUGAGAUUUAAUUAAAGAAGAAUCAAGUCAACUCUUACAGCCAUUGUUGCACAGUGUGGGUUAUAGAGAGCCAGAGUGAUGCUACUUCUGCCUUUAUAGUUUGUGACAGUUAAUAUCCAUAAAAUAUUAUAUUUUCUAGGUUGUACAUUAUUUUCAUAUACUAAUAGAGAAGGACCUUGUUUAAUGCACAUAAAUGGGUCAAAUAUAAAAGCUCUGUAUAGCUCAGGUGGGAUUGACUGAAAAAAAAUGUUGCACAAUGCAAUAAUUUAAAGUAUUGUCAGGGCAGGCAUUACUGGAGGUUUGCCUUAGAGAGCAUCCAUUUUCCCACCAUCCCUUAGAUGGUUACUGCUUGGGAUUGCCCAUGCAGUGUGCCCUCCUGCAACUCACUGCUACUGUGUACCCCUGUAAAUAGAAAAGAAAAAUGCAAACAGCGGGACACAAAGUACUUUUUUUAACUCUGGUGGUUUAAAGUGUCAAAGCACACCCCUGAGUAGGGAGAGUCCUUAUGACAAUGAGUGCCCACCCAGCCCUGUGUUACUUACUGUCCUUUCAAUGUCACCGUAAAUCUCUCUUGCUUCCUCAUAGGAACAUCUUUCUUCUAUGCAUUCUCGCUCUAGUGACCCCAGUUUUAUCUCUUCAAAGAAGCUGUUGGCUCGUCUUUGUCUUUGCAAAACGUUGCUUGCCUCUUCCUGCUUUAGAAAGACUGAAAAACAGCGGCACGUUCUGUUUGUCAUACGGCUGCGCUUGCCAGACAGAGAGGGUGGGGGGACCACUUCACCUGAAAGCUUUUCUGCCUCCAAAGCUUUUUCUGAGACACUUUAGAAAAGAAAUGGGCAGAUGUGGAAGAGUCUCCUUUCUCUGGCCUGCCUCAAGGUAAACUGGCAACACAGGAAUUUUAGAGAUUCCGGAGUUCAGGAGAAGAUGGCCUGUUACAGCAGUGCGGGGUGUGUGUGUUGUCUGCAUGUCAGUGACUCCUGAGCUACUGUUGCAUGUCAUAUGCAUCUUAGCAUGUGCAGCAGUUUCUUACAGCUGUAGCAGCUGGAGAGCCUGUGUCACUUUAUCUAGCACUGGUGUACAUGGUAAAAGCUGAUUUUUCUGUACUUGAUAAGUCAGUCACAGUGACAGGUGGACCACAGUCAGCCUUCACCCACAGUCACAUGUUAUUUCAUACCCCUCCACUUGUUGGACCUGAAGAAGGGAUUUAUCCCACCAUUAGUAGACCACAAUUUUUGAACCACUGCUUUAAUAUCUUUGAUUUUCUUCUGUGGAAAAGGUUAUGUUAAGGUACAUAGGAAGGCUGGAUAAUGUGGACUGCAUUUCCCAGUGGAGCCUGUGAAUGGCUCUUAGCUCCUGCCAUCACCACAGACUACAGCCAGGAAGGGGUCUUGUGUGUCUCUGCCAUGCUUUGGAAGGAUAUUGGGUGCAUAGGUUGAUAGCAGGCAUCAGCAGAGCUCAUUUCCUAGAGUUGCAUCAGCUUGCAACUGGCAGAAGUGUGCACUGGAAACACUAAUGUCAUGGUCCCCAUGCUGACCUGCUCCUCAGCCUCAGGAUAUUAGCACAUCACACAACUGUGCUCUCCCAGUAUAGUUCAGGAUAAGGAACAAGAAGUCCAAGUGCUGGUGUGUAAUUUUGCUCCGUGUACUACAAGAAAAAGUCUUGACAUUUUUAAUUUUUUUUUCUCCUCCCUGUAGGGGAGCUUCUGGAGCUUCAUGACAGCUUUGAUUUCAGUGCUUUAGCUGUUUCACCUCUGCUUGUGGGUAGAUUUGGGGAUUGAGGCUGAUGCAUAUCUCCUGCCUUUCCCCAGGACAUUCUCUCCAAAAGAGUGGGAGUUAUCUUCUACCUGCUGAAAGGGCCCUGAGGGAUGCUGAAAGACAGACUCAUGGGUGUCAUCACCAAUACACACCCAAUCAUAGAUGCUGAGAGGGUUUAUUCCAUUUUGAAGCGAUAUGAGGUGUUUCCAUAAUCAUUUGUGUCUAAUUCAGGAUAGCUGCUGAAUUACAUGUAGAAUAGUGGUAAUUUCCCCCUGUAUUUCAAAGUUACUUAGAAGAAUAAAUUAUUGUGCCCUGAAUUUAUCUCUGGGUGCUUCAUAAGCAUUUGGUCAUUAUAGGAAUGUCAGCUGGGUCUUUCUGCCUUGAUUUCAGUCAGGAUGUAUGCAUUUGGUAUGGCUCUCUUUAAAGGCUUUUAGUUAACCUUAUGUUGCAGAUAGGUGGCACAUGUAUCAGUGCUUGAACACAGACUCUGACAGAGGAACAUGCCUGAGCACAUGGCUAGGGAUGAGCACAUGGCUUGGGACAUCCAUGCACUAAUUUUGGCAUUAUCCACUUUUUUGUAGUGGAUAAUUUCUGACUUUGCUACCUAUUUUUCCACCUUUCCCCACCACAACAUAUAAGACCUAGUCAAUGGCUAAUGGGGAAUCUGAGAGCACUGGAUCUGCUUUAUUAAUAUGGGAGCUGGUUUUUGGACAUACACUGACAACUGAAGAGCUACUUCUUGUCUGCCUUCUACUGAAACAGGGUGGAUCCUACCCACUUUUAUUACUCAUCAGCUGAGUGACAGGCUAUUGAUGCUUUGCUUUGAAAAAUGUCCCAGUUCUGCAUGAAAUAACAGUAAAUCCCAGUUCCUUUCUUCAUGUAGACAGCUGGUGGUUUGCCUGCUGUCUGUGCACCAAGAUAACAGAUGAAUUUAGCAGUCUAGAGGUGCUUUUCCUUAGUUGGCAGAACAAGUGCAUGGAGCCAUCUCUGAGAGUAAAUUAGAACUUUUGAAUAACACACAGGCACAGCAGGAGACACGACAAACACACAACAGCACUCAAAACUUGCAGUGGAAAUCACCUUGCAGUAACAGGAAACAGGGCCAUUGCCAGUAAACACCAUUACAGCUAUAUCCUGCAACAUACCUGCAUCCAGAGAAAGAGGGAUCAGUAGCAGAAAGCAGAGAAACAAAGCCACAUACUGCCUGGAAAUCAUGAUGAACCCUGUGAGCCAGUGUUCUGGUAGUGUAUUGACAUUUCAGCAAGGACUGUUUGGCCAAAGGGCUCAGCUUCAAAUGCUUGGAGCCAGAGGAGGGGCCAGCAAGUCAUGGAAACGGCAAAAGAUCCAUGACAGCCUGGUGAGCUGAGCAGGGCGCAUGCAAAUCCUGCAGUGUGCCCUUUUCACAGGAACAGGGAGCUUGGUUUUGAAGUGUGCUCUCCUGACCCAUGCAAAAGCUGUGCUGGUUACACAGGCUGCUAGCCCAGGCAUGCAUUUUCCAUUUAACACACCUUUGCCAUGAGAAACAUGAAUGCUGGGACCCUGAAUCUAUAGGACAGGCAUUAACUUGGCCACAUAGCACCACAUACAGAGAGCAGUGAUGUGAUAUUAUCUUGCAUCAGCAGUCAAGAUAGUGCUUUUCAGUGCUUUGGAGUAUGAUUGUACUACUGGCAUCUAUUCCCAUUUUUCUAUCACCAGUUGAAACUGUGCACUUCUGCCUGAAUUUGCUUGGAGACACUAAUUAACCAGCAAGAGACACCCUACACUGGUUCUCUCCAUCUUUGCUGCCGGACCCAUGUGGCCUGCACAGGUUGUAGCAGCUGGAAGUGGCACUGAGCUGAUCCAUGUUGUACUUCACUGGGAGCUACCAGGGCUUGAGGGGCCACUCUGCAGACAGUGCUUUAUCUGGAACAUGAGCAGUCCCCUGAUUUAAUGGAAAUCAAUUAAUGGCAUCAGACUGGAAAGCUGACAACAUUCUUGGGGAAAUAUUUACUUAAGAUAGCAGCAAGGUAAAGAGCAUGUUUGUCUAUGAGAAGUGAAGCAUUAGCUGAAGGCUGGAGUGUUUUCCAGGCUGUUCUCUCCUUCCUGCUUGAAAAGGCAGGAGGGUCAGCCCUGCAUCUGAAUGCUACAGCAGAGGAAAUCAACAAUUGGAUUUUUACUCUGUGCCAAUACUCAGCAUAACUCCUUGCAGAAGUUGUGAUUGCUUAGGAAAGUCAGCUCCUGGCUGUUGUUUCCAUGCAGUCCUGUUGUUUAGGGGCAGUACACACAGCUGGAUAUUCUGCUUUGAAAUCACUUUCCCAAGAGGCGGUAUCCAGGCACUUCUCUGGAUCACAGCCUGGCUAAUUCCCAGCAGCCCAGUUCCUGGGAUGGCUGGGAACAGAUGGCAUGUCCUGUCCCAGGCAGAGGAAGGAAACCAGUUACUGGAAUGCAAAAGAAACUACAGCAGCCCUCUGCUGCUUUUUGGGAACCCUCUCCAUACCUGUCUGCCAACACAGCCCUUACUCCUUGUUCACUUGCCUGUGGCAGGGAGUUGAAAAUAGCAAAUGCAUUUUCAUAUUAGCAAGACCAAAACUAAGCUUGAAAAUUUCUUUUUAUCUCAUCUUCUUGGGAAUGAUCUAGCCCCACCUAUCUGUGUGAGUCAUGCAGAUCAGAGAAUGAAGUUCUGCCUUCUCUGCCUGAGGCCAGGCUGAGUCUGCACCUAUGCCCCCCACUCCCUUUAUUUCCUUACACAGGGUGGGCAUCUCCCUGCCAGGGACGGUGGGGUGGCUGCCACUCUGCAGUGGCAUCGCAGCACCUCUGCAGCCUCCACUUCUCUCUAAUGUGAGAUUCUGCACAUCCUUAUGAGACCGAGGCAGUAUUCUCCCUUUGCCUUCCUUCCUCUGCUGGCAUCCCUUAAACCUGAAAGGUUUUGCUUUUAUUUCUUGGGAAUACAGCCAAACAGUUAUUUUUAGAGCCCUGGAAGAAGCCCAAGUGCUGGGAACAAGGGUCAGUUCAUAUGGGGACCAUCCUUCUUCCAAGAAAAUUAGUGCAAUUGGGCUCCAUUGGGAUGAACCUGAGAAGGGUCACUAAGGAUUCAGCACUUCAAGACUACAUUCCAACUCUUUGUUUAAGAACUUUGUACUGACAGAUCUCAUCACACAGGUGUUUCCUACUAACUUCAGCUGGGUCUGUUCAUUGCUUAAAGAGCUGUGUUUUUAAAGGAGAGUUCCCCCUUCCUUGCAGUCUUAGACCCUAAAUGUCCUGGUUGCAGCUAGCAUAGAGGAUCUUUUCAGUGUCUCAUCCUCUGCCAGUGUGGAGCUGCACAAAAAGCAAUGAGAGAGCACGGCCAGGACAGGUUUUACUUUUCUGUUCCUGAUUCUCCUCCUCAGCCUGUGGUGUGGGAGGGAGUGAGGAGCUGCAUGGUCAUGUCCUGUUUGGGGUUGAACCAUGUCACCAGCCAGAGGAGCACACAGGUUGCUUUUCUUCCCCAGAAGAUCCCUAUGUGUUACUUUGUUUUCCUUCUUGUGCAUUCCUGCUCUAGUUAAUGAGAUUUCCCCUGCAGUUCUGCUCUAUAAAUCUCCUUGUCAGUACUGCCUUCAACUUUGGCUUAUGUUUUCUGAGCAAUUCCAACAAAAAUGAACUGCUGUUCAAUUAAAAAUUAAUAUAUAUUAAUGCAAA
Molecule: long non-coding RNA, 7121 nt
Organism: Passer domesticus (house sparrow)
Lineage: Eukaryota; Metazoa; Chordata; Aves; Passeriformes; Passeridae
Exons: 3
Source: RefSeq, a predicted model, not a curated record